GGCAGUUCUCAGGUGACGCACCCUGGAAUCGGGCUCCCUCCUCUCUGGUUCUGGGUGCAUCACCCGAGAACUGCA
Myotis lucifugus (little brown bat) is the source of this 75-nucleotide non-coding RNA. The record is from Rfam. Lineage: Eukaryota; Metazoa; Chordata; Mammalia; Chiroptera; Vespertilionidae.